UAGGGAAUCUUCGGCAAUGGACGAAAGUCUGAACGAGCAACGCCGCGUGAGUGAAGAAGGUUUUCGGAUCGUAAAACUCUGUUGUUAGAGAAGAACAAGGACGUUAGUAACUGAACGUCCCCUGACGGUAUCUAACCAGAAAGCCACGGCUAACUACGUGCCAGCAGCCGCGGUAAUACGUAGGUGGCAAGCGUUGUCCGGAUUUAUUGGGCGUAAAGCGAGCGCAGGCGGUUUCUUAAGUCUGAUGUGAAAGCCCCCGGCUCAACCGGCGAGGGUCAUUGGAAACUGUGAUACUUGAGUGCAGAAGAGGACAGUGGAAUUCCAUGUGUAGCGGUGAAAUGCGUAGAUAUAUGGAGGAACACCAUUGGCGAAGGCGGCACUCUGGUCUGUAACUGACGCUGAGGCUCGAAAGCGUGGGGAGCAAACAGG
This 429-nucleotide ribosomal RNA is filed under the name Gemmatimonadota bacterium. RNAcentral describes it as "Gemmatimonadetes bacterium partial 16S ribosomal RNA". It matches the Rfam family "Bacterial small subunit ribosomal RNA", at positions 355 to 776 of the family's 1533-position model. The record is from RNAcentral. Lineage: Bacteria; Pseudomonadati; Gemmatimonadota.